Molecule: ribosomal RNA, 380 nt
Filed under: uncultured eukaryote
Lineage: Eukaryota
Description: partial 18S ribosomal RNA
Rfam family: Eukaryotic small subunit ribosomal RNA
Source: RNAcentral
CAAUAGCGUAUAUUAAAGUUGUUGCAGUUAAACAGCUCGUAGUUGGAUUUGUGGCGUACGGUGUGUUCCGGGCACUUGUUGUCUGAGUAACCUGCUGUUGCCAUCCUUGGGUGGAACCUGUGUGGCAUUAGGUUGUCGUGCAGGGGAUGCCCAUCAUUUACUGUGAAAAAAUUAGAGUGUUCAAAGCAGGCUUAUGCCGUUGAAUAUAUUAGCAUGGAAUAAUGAGAUAGGACUUUUUUGCUAUUUUGUUGGUUUGCGCAAAGAGGUAAUGAUUAAUAGGGACAGUUGGGGGUAUUCGUAUUCCAUUGUCAGAGGUGAAAUUCUUGGAUUUUUGGAAGACGAACUACUGCGAAAGCAUUUACCAAGGAUGUUUUCAUUAA